RNAcentral lists this ribosomal RNA (1196 nucleotides) under Staphylococcus sp. s1s1. RNAcentral describes it as "bacterial SSU rRNA". It matches the Rfam family "Bacterial small subunit ribosomal RNA", at positions 33 to 1214 of the family's 1533-position model. The record is from RNAcentral. RNAcentral also lists the same sequence under 1 other name. Lineage: Bacteria; Bacillati; Bacillota; Bacilli; Caryophanales; Staphylococcaceae.
UCGCUGUGGCGCGGCUAUCAUGCAGUCGAGCGACAGAUGAGAAGCUUGCUUCUCUGAUGUUAGCGGCGGACGGGUGAGUAACACGUGGGUAACCUACCUAUAAGACUGGGAUAACUCCGGGAAACCGGGGCUAAUACCGGAUAAUAUUUUGAACCGCAUGGUUCAAUAGUGAAAGACGGUUUCGGCUGUCACUUAUAGAUGGACCCGCGCCGUAUUAGCUAGUUGGUAAGGUAACGGCUUACCAAGGCGACGAUACGUAGCCGACCUGAGAGGGUGAUCGGCCACACUGGAACUGAGACACGGUCCAGACUCCUACGGGAGGCAGCAGUAGGGAAUCUUCCGCAAUGGGCGAAAGCCUGACGGAGCAACGCCGCGUGAGUGAUGAAGGUCUUCGGAUCGUAAAACUCUGUUGUUAGGGAAGAACAAAUUUGUUAGUAACUGAACAAGUCUUGACGGUACCUAACCAGAAAGCCACGGCUAACUACGUGCCAGCAGCCGCGGUAAUACGUAGGUGGCAAGCGUUAUCCGGAAUUAUUGGGCGUAAAGCGCGCGUAGGCGGUUUCUUAAGUCUGAUGUGAAAGCCCACGGCUCACCGUGGAGGGUCAUUGGAAACUGGGAAACUUGAGUGCAGAAGAAGGAGAGUGGAAUUCCAUGUGUAGCGGUGAAAUGCGCAAAGAUAUGGAGGAACACCAGUGGCGAAGGCGGCUCUCUGGUCUGUAACUGACGCUGAUGUGCGAAAGCGUGGGGAUCAAACAGGAUUAGAUACCCUGGUAGUCCACGCCGUAAACGAUGAGUGCUAAGUGUUAGGGGGUUUCCGCCCCUUAUUGCUGCACCUAACGCAUUAAGCACUCCGCCGGGGGAGUACGACCGCAAGGUUGAAACUCAAAGGAAUUGACGGGGACCCGCACAAGCGGGGGAGCAUGUGGUUUAAUUCAAAGCACCGCGAAAAACCUUACCAAAUCUUGACAUCCUUUGACCGCUCUAAAAAUAGAGUCUUCCCCUUCGGGGGACAAAGUGACAGGUGGUGCAUGGUUGUCGUCAGCUCGUGUCGUGAGAUGUUGGGUUAAGUCCCGCAACGAGCGCAACCCUUAAGCUUAGUUGCCAUCAUUAAGUUGGGCACUCUAGGUUGACUGCCGGUGACAAACCGGAGGAAGGGGGGGAUGACGUCAAAUCAUCAUGCCCCUUAUGAUUGGGGC